AUUUCUUAGAAGUGAGGCCAGUCAGCUGGUCAACCACCCCGCCUGUCGCUCUGUGACUGUCCCCGAUCGUCCGCGGUGCUUCUUUACUUGCAUCUUGUGGGAAUGACAUCUGCGCAGGCAGCCCCUUUUUAAGCAUUGCCACGGGCACGUUAGCCUAGCCCUUAAAAUCCCAGCCCAGCCCUGGAUUUGCAGAUACUCAGGGCAGGGCAAGGCGCCUUUCCGCGUUUGGUGUAGUCCCGCAUGCUGCCAUAAGAUGGCACCAGAGAACGCGCCUACCGGGAUAGGGCAGGGCAAGGAGGCGGGGAAGAAAAAAAAGCGACGAGUGAAGAUUGACAUCCAUUAAGUUCAAUCUUUGGUUCUCUGACUCCCAAGCUUCCCAUUCUCUUAGGAGGCUGCAUUUGUGGCGCUAAAAGAAGGGAUGGGCGUGGGAGAUGCCGAGACAUGUGCUCGCUGAAGAUACACCUGUUAGUCCAAGUUGAAGAUGAAUCUACAUGGUGGUGCAAGUAUGUCCUUUGUUCACCCUAGUGGACCAUCGUGGGAGCUUCGUGGAGUGCUUCCUCAGACUGCAACUCUACCCCCCUGAUAGUAGAUUCUAUCAACCAAGUUUCAUAAAGAGUUCUGAUUCCCAGAGGAAUGAAUUCAUCCUCUCUUCAUUCCAAAACUGAAGUAUGUGAAUUAGAAAAAUGUACAAGGAAUAGCAAUUAUAAAUGAUUAGCAUAUGUUUUUGUACCUUUCAAAGUCAUCAUCUGGGUGGCCUGUCUCAGCCCAGCUUCCAAACUUGCUUUUAUUGGAGGCAUUGAGCUUCAGAAUAUCUUCCGUAACCAAGAGGACUGCUGUCGAAUGCUCUACCAUCACUGACUUUGAAAAUGCAGCUGCUGUUAUCCCCUCACCUAAACUUUCUUGAAGACCUGGGAAGAAAGGCAAGAAAACAAUCUUGUCAGAUAUGGAGUUCUCUACUUACACUGCUCCCACCUGAUUAAUAGCUCAGUGCUUAGUCAUUCUCAGACUUGAGUUUACACCAUAAUCAGACGGAGUCCUUGUCACACCACAGAUUGCUCUACCUCUCCCAGCUCCCAGAGUUUCUAUGAAUUUACAUUUCUAAUGAGCUCUCAGGGGAUACUAAUGGUAUUAGUUGAAGACACAAUUUGAGAAGCACUGCUGCUUUCCCAUUUGUUCCAGACUCGUUACCUUGGAUUCGGAGUCUCUGUUUCCAGUUGAUGAUCUCACAAUUUUUCAAAACUUCUUGUGAUUUUUGAGGGUCUUUGGAGAAUAUACGAUAUACAUUUGUGUAUGAAUCCAUGUCAUCAGUCAUCUCCUGUAUAGGAUGGUGAAAGUUCAGAUCAUUCCCUUGAACUAUUUCUUCACCUCUCACUGAUUGCAAUUAUCAGAAAAAUGAAAAUUCAAAAGAAAAUUUUGACACUGGCCCAUGAUGGCUGCAGUUGGGCACACGGAUAAUAAAACCUAGACCUAUAAGCUACUGCUGA
Long non-coding RNA from Chlorocebus sabaeus (green monkey), 1484 nucleotides. RefSeq lists it as uncharacterized. NCBI's taxonomy places the organism in Eukaryota, Metazoa, Chordata, Mammalia, Primates, Cercopithecidae. The record is from RefSeq and is a predicted model, not a curated record.